ACUGCGGUGUAAUUGCACCCUGCCUCUUCCUGUACUCCACACUGCCGGGGAGUGGAGGGAGGGAGGAGGGGUGACUGGGCUUCUGACGUUAUACAAAUCGGAAUUCCCUUCCCCGUGCGCACUCGUUCACUCACUCACACCCUCACUCUAACCCCGUCUGGCUCUCAGACACUCUCUCUCUCUCUUUCACACACUCACACACAUGGUGUCUGCGAGGCUGCCGGGCGCUCCCUCUGAAGACUAACUGCAAUCUUCAGGAUUCUCUCAGUCUCUGAGUUUUAGGAAGGGAGAGUGGGAAAAAGUGCAAAAAAGUAACAGUGUGUGCUGGUGUUUCUCUCUCUCUGGUCUGUAUCAGUGGGCCAGUCUCCUGUGCCUGCUGUGCUGAUAAUCAGUGUCUCUCUUCAGCUGGCUCAGUUCAGCAGGAACAGGGGCCUGGUCUUGCCAACAUAAUACCUUAGAGGUGCACAGCCACACACACACACACACACACUCACACACACACACACACGCACACAGAUGCACGCCACCAGACGUACACUACCUUCCACAGCUGGGAUCCAGAGCGACAUGGCUAUAUGCAGUUUAUUUAAGUUAUGAAUGUAAUAAUAUGUGACAAUAUGAAUGUAGCCUACCAAUUAUGGGCUGGCGCCAGUGACUUGUCCUGUGACAUCAAUAAAACGGAGACAUCAAUAAAAGCUAAAAGGCUCCAAGUCAAA
Molecule: long non-coding RNA, 716 nt
Organism: Pangasianodon hypophthalmus (striped catfish)
Lineage: Eukaryota; Metazoa; Chordata; Actinopteri; Siluriformes; Pangasiidae
Exons: 2
Source: RefSeq, a predicted model, not a curated record